Molecule: non-coding RNA, 95 nt
Organism: Megasphaera sp. DJF_B143
Lineage: Bacteria; Bacillati; Bacillota; Negativicutes; Veillonellales; Veillonellaceae
Source: Rfam
CAUUUAUCCAGAGCGGCGGAGGGACGGGCCCUAUGAAACCCGGCAACCGAUAAUACGGUGCCAAUUCCUGCGGAAGAAAUUCCGGGAGAUAAAGA